This 90-nucleotide transfer RNA is filed under the name Candidatus Aenigmatarchaeota archaeon. RNAcentral describes it as "tRNA-Asn". It matches the Rfam family "tRNA". From Rfam's summary of the family: Transfer RNA (tRNA) molecules are approximately 80 nucleotides in length. Their secondary structure includes four short double-helical elements and three loops (D, anti-codon, and T loops). Lineage: Archaea; Nanobdellati; Candidatus Aenigmatarchaeota. The record is from RNAcentral.
GCCUCGGUAGCUCAGUGGAAGAGCGCACGGCUGUUAACCGUGAGGUCGCAGGUUCGAGUUUGAAAGGAGGAAUUCCUGCCCGGGGCGCCA